GUGGGGAAUAUUGGACAAUGGGCGCAAGCCUGAUCCAGCAAUGCCGCGUGGAUGGAGAAGGUCUUCGGAUUGUAAAGUCCUUUCGACGGGGACGAUGAUGACGGUACCCGUAGAAGAAGCCCCGGCUAACUUCGUGCCAGCAGCCGCGGUAAUACGAAGGGGGCUAGCGUUGCUCGGAAUUACUGGGCGUAAAGGGCGCGUAGGCGGCAUGACAAGUCAGGCGUGAAAUUCCCGGGCUCAACCUGGGGACUGCGCUUGAGACUGUUGAGCUAGAGGACGGAAGAGGGUCGUGGAAUUCCCAGUGUAGAGGUGAAAUUCGUAGAUAUUGGGAAGAACACCGGUGGCGAAGGCGGCGACCUGGUCCGUUACUGACGCUGAGGCGCGACAGCGUGGGGAGCAAACAGGAUUAGAUACCCUGGUAGUCCACGCCGUAAACGAUGUGCGCUGAAUGUUGGGGUUCUUAGAAUCUCAGUGUUGUAGCUAACGCGGUAAGCGCACCGCCUGGGGAGUACGGCCGCAAGGU
Molecule: ribosomal RNA, 523 nt
Filed under: uncultured Roseomonas sp.
Lineage: Bacteria; Pseudomonadati; Pseudomonadota; Alphaproteobacteria; Acetobacterales; Roseomonadaceae
Description: bacterial SSU rRNA
Rfam family: Bacterial small subunit ribosomal RNA
Source: RNAcentral